GGCCGGCUAAUUCAGUGCCAGCAGCCGCGGUAAUACUGAAGGCCCGAGCGUUAAUCGGAAUCACUGGGCUUAAAGCGUACGCAGGCGGACUUGUAGGUAUUUUGUGAAAUCCCACGGCUUAACCGUGGAACUGCAGAGUAAACCACAAGUCUUGAGACAUGUAGGGGUCAGUGGAACGAUGUGUGGAGCGGUGAAAUGCGUAGAUAUACAUCGGAACGCCAAUGGCGAAGGCAGCUGACUGGGCAUGUUCUGACGCUCAGGUACGAAAGCGUGGGUAGCGAACGGGAUUAGAUACCCCGGUAGUCCACGCCGUAAACGAUGCACACUAGAUCGUGGUAUCUCUCAUGAUUUCACGGUCGAAGGUAAACUGGUAAGUGUGCCGCCUGGGGAGUACGGUCGCAAGGCUAAAACUCAAAGGAAUUGACGGGGGCUCACACAAGCGGUGGAGCAUGUUGCUUAAUUCGAGGCAACGCGAAGAACCUUACCUGGGCUUGACAUGUAUGGAUUAGCUCUUGGAAACAAGAGUGACGCCCUUGGGUGGAACAUACACAGGUGCUGCAUGGCUGUCGUCAGCUCGUGCUGUGAAGUGUCGGGUUAAGUCCCUUAACGAGCGCAACCCCUAUCGUUAGUUACUAACGCGUUAUGGCGAGGACUCUAGCGAGACUGCCGGUGUCAAACCGGAGGAAGGUGGGGAUGACGUCAAGUCCUCAUGGCCUUUAUGCCCAGGGAUGCAAACGUGCUACAAUGGUACGGACAAAGCGAUGCGAUACCGCGAGGUGGAGCAAAUCGCAAAAACCGUGCCCCAGUUCGGAUAGCAGGCUGAAAUUCGCCUGCUUGAAGCCGGAAUCGCUAGUAAUCGCGUAUCAGCUACGACGCG
This 877-nucleotide ribosomal RNA is filed under the name Rhodomonas sp. RNAcentral describes it as "bacterial SSU rRNA". It matches the Rfam family "Bacterial small subunit ribosomal RNA", at positions 491 to 1361 of the family's 1533-position model. Lineage: Eukaryota; Cryptophyceae; Pyrenomonadales; Pyrenomonadaceae. The record is from RNAcentral.